CUAAGGAUGGUCCUUCAGUCUGCUUCGGCAACUAUCGGAUCGUUUUAGAAACAUCAGUGGCCAGUGAUUGGAUCAAUCGCUGAGCUGCAUUGGCGGGACACCGCCGUCUUCGUUUCUCUUUCUUCGCGGACGAACACGCGCCAGGGGCGGCGUUGAGCGAUGCACGUUGCAUAUGCGACGUCGCGCCGACCGAGCUCCUCGUCGUUAGGGCUUGUAGCUCAGUUGGUUAGAGCGCGCGCUUGAUAAGCGUGAGGUCGGAAGUUCAAGUCUUCCCAUGCCCACCAUAUUUGCGCGACUAUCCUUUGAGGUUGCUGCGCUCACGUCACGACAUCGCAUCUUGCUAAGAAACGCUGUCCUUGCGUUGAGCAUUCGUCUUCUGGAACGGGGGCAUAGCUCAGCUGGGAGAGCGCGUGCUUUGCAAGCAUGAGGUCGUCGGUUCGAUCCCGUCUGCCUCCACCAGAGGUUUGGAUGGGGCGACGAGUUGCAAGUGUUCACAGUGUGCCCCGUACGGGUGGCGCCUGUUAAAUAGUCCGCGAAACAUCACUUCGCAUUCAGUAUCUUCACCAAGAUGCUGCGUGCGUGAUUUCUGACAUCGUAAAGAGGAGAUCGAUCCGAGCUUGGAUCGCGAAACAUAUCGAAAGAUAUGCGUUGCGGAUUCUUGCACUAUCUCCUGGCCGCUCAUCUGAAGCAUCGCAAGAUGGUUCGGGUGGCAUCGGGCGUCGCAAGACGGCUGGUGUUGUUACCUUGUGUGACAGCGUCUUUGUUAGUGAAGCUUGACCGCCUCACUAUCGGUUCGAUCUUACGAAGCAAGCUGGUCUUUCUAAUCAUAUCCAGCUGCACAUAGCCUCUAUCGAGGGGGCGCGCUGCUGAUCUUCGGAUCUUCAGCAAGUGUGCAGUUCAACAUUCUGCCGAGUGUGUGGAUAUUGAUAAUGAGAGCA
Molecule: transfer RNA, 938 nt
Filed under: uncultured bacterium
Lineage: Bacteria
Description: 16S-23S ribosomal RNA intergenic spacer
Rfam family: tRNA (bases 208-281)
Source: RNAcentral